AGUGAACGCUGGCGGUAGGCCUAACACAUGCCAGUCGAACGGCAGCACAGUAAGAGCUUGCUCUUACGGGUGGCGAGUGGCGGACGGGUGAGGAAUACAUCGGAAUCUACUUUUUCGUGGGGGAUAACGUAGGGAAACUUACGCUAAUACCGCAUACGACCUACGGGUGAAAGCAGGGGAUCUUCGGACCUUGCGCGAUUGAAUGAGCCGAAGUCGGAUUAGCUAGUUGGCGGGGUAAAGGCCCACCAAGGCGACGAUCCGUAGCUGGUCUGAGAGGAUGAUCAGCCACACUGGAACUGAGACACGGUCCAGACUCCUACGGGAGGCAGCAGUGGGGAAUAUUGGACAAUGGGCGCAAGCCUGAUCCAGCCAUACCGCGUGGGUGAAGAAGGCCUUCGGGUUGUAAAGCCCUUUUGUUGGGAAAGAAAAGCAGCAGGUUAAUACCCCGCUGUUCUGACGGUACCCAAAGAAUAAGCACCGGCUAACUUCGUG
Molecule: ribosomal RNA, 492 nt
Filed under: uncultured bacterium
Lineage: Bacteria
Description: partial 16S ribosomal RNA
Rfam family: Bacterial small subunit ribosomal RNA
Source: RNAcentral